This is a long non-coding RNA of Piliocolobus tephrosceles (Ugandan red Colobus), 403 nucleotides long. RefSeq lists it as uncharacterized. NCBI's taxonomy places the organism in Eukaryota, Metazoa, Chordata, Mammalia, Primates, Cercopithecidae. The transcript is spliced from 3 exons. The record is from RefSeq and is a predicted model, not a curated record.
AUAAAAGGGCGAGUUGAUUCACCUUCGUUUCUUGCCCUUCUGCCUUCCACCAUGUGAGGAUGUGGCAUUUCUCCCCUCCAGAGGAUUUAGCAAGCGGGACCUCACCAGAUGUCAAUGGCUUGAUCUUGGACAUUCUCAACCUCCAGAACUACGGGACCAUCUAGUUGCAGGAAGACAAGCUCAGGGCUCCCACUGAUUCUACAUUACGUGAUGUUGUUAACCCUUUGGUAUCAAGGAAGAAACUGAGGCACAGAGAGAUGAGAAGGGGUAUGCUCAAAGUCACACCUCCAGGCCUGGUGCAGUGGCUCACAUCCGUAAUUCCAGCACUUUGGGAGGCCAAGGCGGGCAGAGCACGAGGUCAAGAGAACCAGACCAUCCUGGCCAACAUGGCGAAACCCUGUCU